Molecule: RNA transcript, 7351 nt
Organism: Rhopalosiphum padi (bird cherry-oat aphid)
Lineage: Eukaryota; Metazoa; Arthropoda; Insecta; Hemiptera; Aphididae
Gene name: superoxide dismutase [Mn], mitochondrial-like
Exons: 2
Source: RefSeq, a predicted model, not a curated record
ACCAUGAUCGAUACGAGUUGGAUUACCAAAGCUGUCGACGAUAUAAGCGGUAAGUUUAAUAAUGUUUUGUUGAAUGACAGAUGACAAUCUUUACAUAAUAUGUACUUCGGGCAAUCUCUAAAAAUAAAUUUUAAAAUAAAUCGUUGCAAUAAAAUACAAUUUUCAAAUCAAUUAUUAUCUAGUCGGUUUUAACAAAUAGUAAAAUGUAGAAAAAGCUUUAUUUCCUAACCUACAGCUCCCUUUCAAUGGUUCCACUUCUGUGAUCCAAUCAUUAAUUGUGUUUAUUUAAAACAUUAAAUAACUGGAAAAUCACAUUAAACACCGUCAAAGUUUUAUUCAAUGGUUGUUUAAACCACCACAAAUUCGCGCCGUUCAUGGCACAACCGGUUCGGUCAAUUGUGCGUCGGGUGCGAACUUUACGCACACGUCUCCACCCCGCUGCCGCUUAAGGCUAUCGCGACACCGGUGUGCAUGCUCGCCGACUCCGCCGUUACGGCCGCCUCUGUUUUGUUCUUUUCCAGCGGUCGACCACAACGGUCGAUAUACCUUUUUUGCUGGCCGUGGGCCUCGCGUAUCGUCACCGCAGUUGCGUUUUUUUCGCGUCUUGUUCGGACCACGUGGUCGACGAGGUUUUUUGUGCGUUGUUGCCAUAAAUUACGCAUAGUUGCGUUGCUGUGCUGGUGUUCAUACACCAAAAUUAUUAUAUUAUAUUCGUUCGUGUGCGUCGUGUAACGUGCUGUCCGAGAAAACACGUGUUUAAACGAGCUCUUCUGUGUGUUGUCGCCACAGAAUCUCACACGGUGUUUUUCGUCACCGGGUGUGACGCGCUCAUCUCAAUACAAUCAUCAUUGUUCCAGCGUUCCGGACCACAAGGCAGAGCUCGGGCGGUGUCGGUAUCGUUAAACUCCUUUUUUUGUAUUAUCAUAAUUGUAUUGUUUGAUUUAUUGUAAUCGUUACAUAUCCAAAUUAUUUAUUUUAUUAUUAUCUCAUGGGCACCCACCUUGAUUAGGAUUUUUAGGCCGUUUGUAUUUAUUAUUAUUAUUAUUAUUAUUAUUUGAUUAUUAUAUUUUUAGCGCCCGGCAAACGCGGGACGCAUAAUGUUAAUUUCGGCGUUUUCUAUGAUUUAUAUUAUAAGUUUAUUCAGUUAGGAAUAUAUUUGUGGUCACCUUCUACUAUCCCCUAUUCGAGUGCGUGAUAAAAGUGUUGUCUGCGACCGCACUUAUUACGUGCCAAAACAAUGGUAUAGCAUAUAUGGAUUUGUAAUCAUUACCUACUGCUAUUAAUCCAAUAAUCUUAAAAAGUAAAGUUUGUAAAGUUAACUGAUUCAGACGAAUAAGUAAAUAACAAAUGUAUAAAGUAUCAAGAUAAAAUAUAAUUUACAUCAAUGUAAUAUUUACACUAAAACUAUAUUUAAUUAUAAUAAUAACUGUAAAAAUUGUUUUCAAUAAAUAUAUACAUACUAUAGGGACGAUUUGACUUCCAAAAAUAGUACAAAACGACUCUCCAAACAGAUAAACGACCUGUGCGUUUUUCAGUAUCAACUUGCGAAUACGUUUGUCGCCGGCUUGAAUAGAUCUGUCAUAUUUAGUAGACCAAACUUGGUUUACAAGCUCAAAUCGUCUCUACGUCAGUGUUAAUAAUUUUUAUUAAACAAAAAAGUUUUCAUUUAUUACGAACAUACAAUUUCCAUUUUUGUGGCUUGGUGUGGUGCGAUCGUACACUCAACUGCGGAAAGCUCCGAGUGUACAUAUCGGCCGGUGUUGCUAGCUCCCGGAUGGGUGACCACCCGAGAUUUUAGUGACAAAUUCUUGCCACUCAUACAAACAAACGUGUUUCAACCUACCGUUCCACCCCCCUACAAACGAAUUAAAACCAUCCAAUGGCCUUUGUUGCCGCGGAUUAAUUAAUAAAUAAUAAAAAAAAAUUUUCAUUCUCAUGUAUUCGAGUAUUCCUAAAAAUAAAUAGUCAAUACACUGCAGAACAAGAAAAGAAUCCGGAAGUUACAGUUAUAUAUAGUUAUAUACUAGUGAAUUAAUUUCCAGCUGCAUAUACGGUUUAAGGAAUGCUUAGUAGAGGAAUUUUUAUGUUAUAGAAGUUUACGAAUUCCUUGAUAAUAAUUCCUCCUGUAGGAGAAGGUAAUAUAAAUAAUAUAUUAGACUAACGGUCCUUCUCAUCAUUACCUGGUAAUUAUUUUUAUUACAUAAGUAAUUUCCGAAAAAAAGUUUUAUAAAUAAUAUUUUUAUAUUUUUAUUUUAUUCAAUAAUAAGUAUAUAUCAUACGCCAAUAUGGUUUACUUACUACCUAUAUAUUACUAUAGUUACAAAGUUAAUAAUAUAUUAUGUUGCCACGGGCCACGGCUUAUUUUUAAUAAAAUAUUUAGUUUUGUUUAGUUAUACUACUAUAGAUAAUUAGUUGAAUACGUUCUUAAAAAUAUGUUAAUCUAAUUAUAAUUAUUACUGCAUAUAUUAUAAUUACGGUAAUAAUAACCUACGGUGCUACAAUUUUUUCACCAUUUGGUAACGAUCUACGAACAUUCCAUUUAAUACAAGUUACUUUUUGGUAUUCUGAUAUCCAUUCAUCAAUAUCUUCGAUAUUGAGUAAGUUACUGGAGUACACCGCUGAUUGGUUGUAGCUGUAGUGAACGCUGGAUGUUCGCCGUCCAGACCGGCCCUGUCCCAGCUGCUACAUAAGUUUUCGUUUUUUAGCCUUGUCGCUGCCACUAGUUGUUUCUAGAAAGGACGGUGAGUACAAUGCAAUUUUAUUUAUUAAAAUAGAAGAAUACUAUAACGGAAAAAAUUGUAGAAGCUGUUCGGUGUGUUGAGUUAUCAAACUAUAUAUGCGCGUGUUUAUUGCUUAAUUUUUUCCGUGUGUGCUACUGAUCGACACCCGUUUACAGACAGUUAAUAGUUUAUAAUAAUUAUAAGAUAGUUAAAUUAACAAUUAUUCAAACAUUUCAAACAAUCAUAAUUCUGUAGUGGGCCAACAAUUAGGUGUAUUGAUAAAGUAUGAACUAUGAAGUACCUAGUCGUGUCGAAUGAAGGAAAAUGUUAAAAAUAUUACUUAGUGCUUUAGAUUCUGAAUAAAGUGAGGAAUAUAUUGAUUUUACAAUGUGUGUUUUUUUAUUUUAUUUUUUACUUUUUUGUCUGUCAUCAUGUUUUGGAGUAGUAAUAAUGCUUCGAUUUUCGACUUCAGCCCCUCUUUGAAAAGGUCAUCUAGUUAGUACUUGGGGGGGGGGGAGGUGAAAAGUAAAAAAUUUCCAGUAGUUUUCAAAAGCGUCGGGAAAAACCUUGAAAAAAUAACGGAAAAACGGGAAUUUUUACGCAUAACCAUUAUUCAUUUUGAUUUUGCUGUAACUCAAAAAUGAAUAAUUGUAAAUACUUAUAAUUUCCACAAAAUGUUUAUGUUAUGGUUAUCUAUUUACGAUUAAAUUUUCAAAAUAUUUUGACUUUUACUACUAAUUUAGCUACUAAUAGACAAUUGAAAUUUUCGACUUUUUUAAGUUUUUUUCUUAAAAUGCCGAUAAAAAUAUUUGGCUAUCCAAAUAUUUUUAAAAUUUAAUACAAGGUUUAUUAUAAGUUAUACUUAUCGUGGUAAAAAAAAAACAAAAAAUUGUUCCGAUGCGUAAAACACCGGUCACCGAUUAGCUCAAUUAUAUAAAUUAUAAAAUAAAUGUUUUUCGUCUUUAAAACACAACAAUGUACGUUGAUUUAAGAAUUUCAUUUUGAGAAAGCAAAAACUGCACACGGGCGAAGCCGGGUAAUUCAUCUAGUACAAAAUAAAAUAAUAUAAACAAAACGGUACGCGCGUAGUGAAAAUAGCGCGGUGUCGUAUCUAUAACGGAAGCACUUUUAGUAUCAUUAAAUUAUUAACAUGUUAAUGUUAAACCAUGUACAUACUUUAUUUUCUAAUCUUUGUUUUAACGCAUAAUCAAUCAUUUUUCCAUUACUAAACACGAAUUAAUUAUAUUACACUUUUGCACUCAAGUUGAAACGUUUUUUAAUUUCUUAGAUUGUUUGCUACCAAUUAUUUUGUGAAAAAUGUUGGCCAAAAUUGUGCAAAAUAUAUGGAAAAGUUUACCAUUAAGUCGCCCUUGUAUGUCCCAGAUUCAAACUAUAGCAACGUUACCUUCUCUCACAUUUGAGUAUAAAGAUUUGGAACCAAUUAUAUCACGAGACAUUAUGAAAAUUCAUCACCAAAACCAUCAUAAAACUUAUAUAGAAAACUACAACAAAACACUAGAUCAAUUACGGACUGCUGUAGCAAAAGACGAUACAGCGAAAAUCAUCAGCUUGGCACCUGCACUUAAGUUCAAUGGUGGUGGUCAUAUUAAUCAUUCUAUUUUCUGGGAUACACUUACACCUCAUUCAACUAAGCCUUCUAAUGAUUUGGAUAAGGCUUUAAUCCAAAACUUUGGUUCAUAUGAUGAAUUUAAAAAAGAAUUAGCUGCAGCUUCUAUUGCAGUACAAGGCUCAGGAUGGGGUUGGCUUGGGUGUAAUCCUCAAACUAAGAAGUUGAUAGUAAAAAGUUGUGCUAACCAAGAUCCACUAUUUCCAACUACUGGAUUGAUUCCUUUGUUUGGAAUUGAUGUUUGGGAACAUGCUUACUACUUGCAAUAUAAAAAUGUUCGUGCUGAUUAUGUCAACGCAAUUUUUGAAGUUGUGAAUUGGGAUGCCGUGUCCAAACGUUUUGCUGAAGCUUUUGCAGAAUGCCGUAUAAUAUCGGCAUAAUUUAAUAUCAUAAUAUAUUGUACGCGCGUUCCGGUUACAAUAGGUGUUGCCGAUCGACACACGAACACACACACAAACACUCACGCGCAUCAGCCGCUAAUUUUAUAUUUAUUUUUGUCUUCUUUAUUAUACCUAAUUAUUAUUGUCUCGUGAAUUAUAGAAUAUUGUAUUACGUAAAUUACGACGGCGUGUUAUCUGCCGCCGUAAAGGCUUGCCGAUUCGCGCAGUUUAACACGGCCGCCGUAAUUUUCUCCAGUCUUGCUCGUACCAUCGAGGUUGUUCUAAAACACGUAAAAUUAUAUUUACGUAUGAGUUUUUGUUGAAUUUCUUUUAUUAUAAAUUGCAAGGCGCGAAUCGCCACUAUAUAGUAUAUCGUUAUAUUUUAUAGGCGCAAAUCGCCACAUUUUUUAUUAUAAUUAUUUAUUAACGCUAAGCGCAACAUUUUUUAUUUACAAUAUUAUAUUGAUAGGCGCUAAUCGCCGCAUUUUUUAUUAUAUUAAUUUAAUUUGUGUAAUUAUUAUAUAGCGGUAUAGGUGCAGCUGGCCAGCCGUGUACCGACAAUUUGUGAGUUUUAUAUCAUUAUUUAUUUAUAUUUUAUAUUGGUUGUGCCCAAUCGGCAUUAAGUUGACAAUUAUAUUAUACAUUAUUAUUUUAUAUUUAGCGGUAUAAUAUUACUUAUUACUUAUUUAUUAAUCUUAGGUUGUGCUGAACCGGCAAUUAUAUUUUAUACAUUUUUUAUUGUUGGGCCGAAAGGGCCGUAAUUAUUUAUUAUCAUAUUAUAUAUUUUUUACCAUACCUCCAAUUUGAGUUACCAUUUAAUCAAAGUUACCUAUUUGUCCUUAGUUUUUAAGAUUACACACAGUACACACAAAUAUAGACACACACACACCAUCACCACCCACAUACUAGCACUCACAGGUUUUGCUCAGCGACCCUGUCCAACUUUUGUUGAGUAUGCUAUAUACAUUAUACUCAUUUACACAGGUCGGUCGGUGUGUGCGUGCCGUUCCACGAAGCAUAAGGUAACCGGGCGCGCAUAUUAUUAACUUACGCUCCCGAACCGUACAUAUUUAAAUUUAAACAAUUAAAUAUGUACUGUUUAUGUAUUCCUGUAAAUACUGUUAAUUUUCAAUUAAAAUAUACUAAUAGAAAAAAAAAACAAACACCAACGACCCGAUCCAGCAGGUGGCAGAACAGUGAUCCUGCAAACCACGGGAGCGGACCCAGGCUGAACUGCAGCCAGAGUUAGGCGCAGGCCUUUGGAGCAGCUGCGGCGAGACCCGUCGUUGUGCUCAGCUUACGUUCGGGGAUGGGAAGACCGAACAGCCGACGUCCACAGGAGUCUGAGGGCGUUCCAGCCGUCAUCCACGCGUCCGUCAGCAGCGGACCGGCCAACGGAGGACCACGGCACCAGCGACAGUGGCCAGCAUUGUCGCAGCACUACGGCCGACACCCCCACCGACACCUUCAACACAUCAAACACGUCUCAAUUUUGCAACCGUUAUUUUGAUUGUGCUCAUCUUUUGUACUACACGUACAAGAUACAUCGCCGUAACCAGUCACCUUGUGUACUCGUUAUCCACAUCUCAAUAAGCCUAAUAACUAAAAAAACCUCGUGCGUUUGUGUCUCCGCACCCCAAUUCUACGAUUCGGUGUCUUGUCGUCGUUAUUCCGCCAUUGUUUUGUGUUUGGCCGUCUAAAGCUCAUCCGAGCUGAUCGUCGUUUCGCGCCCUGUCGUGUUCGCGGUCAUAGUGUUUUUUGGCUCGCUUGCCACCCGGCUUAUUGUAUUUUGUGCCGUCACCCGUCCGUCUUACGCAGUGCGACCCGUGUAGUGCACCCCUUUUCGCUUUUCGCGUAUUGUUCGCCCGCAACGCCGAGUUCGCCGUGCGAACACGUUCAAAUAUACUCAGCCAUUUUGUCUUUUGUACCGCGGUCUACGCCGUGACAACGGACGCUCACGCGCAACGGUUCGCGUCGUCGAGUUCGCGACCGUUAUUGUUAUCCGAGCACGCGUCGUCCGGUGGUUCUAUAUUUUCCACGCCCGUUCUAUUCGAGUAAUCACCCGUACACAUCGUCGUUGACCCAUUUCGUCGUGAUCAACAUUUGCACAGUUGUCGCAGCUCCAAUCAGUGUCCCCGACGGUUAUCAUCGAUCCGUUAUCACGUUGUCAACAUCAACAUCGCCGGUUAUCAGAUCGUACACGCAAAUUAUUAUUUGACUUAUUAUCCGACGCUGUAUUUUGUACUAUUUCUAUCUAUUCAAUCGUUCUCCGCCGAUCGACUUGUGAUCGUGCUUAUAUACUAACCCUAGUACGUAAGAUUAAUUUUCAGAACCGACGCAAUAAAUUUAUAUAUAUUAUCAGUCGUAAAAUUCUAUUGUUUUUAUAUUUGUGUUAGGGUGCCUUCACUCAUCAUCGUUAGUUGUAUUAUUGCUAUAGGAAUUAACCAGCCUCUUCAUUUCCCCAUUAAGUUAUACAGUCCACGUUCUCCCUCCUUACAGUGUUAUCGAACUAUUUGUCGCAGUAACAAAUAAAAUAAUCGCACACGACGGGUUACGUGUAGACUGCCGUCGGUACUGGUCUGUUAUCGCCCCGCCACGGGAACGAAAAAUUUUAUCGACCCGCC